CUCCUACUCCCCUGUCGUCGCCUUCGCCUCCCGACGACGUCGGCCGCGUCGACCCGUGGCACGAGAGAACGCUGGCGGCGUGCUUAACACAUGCAAGUCGAACGGAAAGGCCCUGCUUUUGUGGGGUGCUCGAGUGGCGAACGGGUGAGUAACACGUGAGUAACCUGCCCUUGACUUUGGGAUAACUUCAGGAAACUGGGGCUAAUACCGGAUAGGAGCUCCUGCUGCAUGGUGGGGUUGGAAAGUUUCGGCGGUUGGGGAUGGACUCGCGGCUUAUCAGCUUGUUGGUGGGGUAGUGGCUUACCAAGGCUUUGACGGGUAGCCGGCCUGAGAGGGUGACCGGCCACAUUGGGACUGAGAUACGGCCCAGACUCCUACGGGAGGCAGCAGUGGGGAAUAUUGCACAAUGGGCGGAAGCCUGAUGCAGCAACGCCGCGUGCGGGAUGACGGCCUUCGGGUUGUAAACCGCUUUCGCCUGUGACGAAGCGUGAGUGACGGUAAUGGGUAAAGAAGCACCCGGCUAACCUACGUGCCAGCAGCCGUCGACGCGGCCG
This 554-nucleotide ribosomal RNA is filed under the name uncultured bacterium. RNAcentral describes it as "bacterial SSU rRNA". It matches the Rfam family "Bacterial small subunit ribosomal RNA", at positions 1 to 531 of the family's 1533-position model. The record is from RNAcentral.